UACAGAGGGUGCAAGCGUUGUCCGGAAUCACUGGGCGUAAAGGGCGCGUAGGCGGCCUGAUAAGUAGGGGGUGAAAUCCUGCGGCUUAACCGCAGGGCUGCCUUCUAAACUGUCGAGCUUGAGCACGGUAGAGGCAGAUGGAAUUCCCGGUGUAGCGGUGGAAUGCGUAGAGAUCGGGAAGAACAUCAGUGGCGAAGGCGGUCUGCUGGGCCGUUGCUGACGCUGAGGCGCGACAGCGUGGGGAGCAAACAGG
RNAcentral lists this ribosomal RNA (253 nucleotides) under uncultured bacterium. Its description in RNAcentral is "partial 16S ribosomal RNA". It matches the Rfam family "Bacterial small subunit ribosomal RNA", at positions 524 to 776 of the family's 1533-position model. The record is from RNAcentral.